Molecule: ribosomal RNA, 253 nt
Filed under: uncultured bacterium
Lineage: Bacteria
Description: partial 16S ribosomal RNA
Rfam family: Bacterial small subunit ribosomal RNA
Source: RNAcentral
UACGGAGGAUCCGAGCGUUAUCCGGAAUCAUUGGGUUUAAAGGGUCCGUAGGCGGGCCGUUAAGUCAGGGGUGAAAGUCUGCGGCUCAACCGUAGGACCGCCCUUGAUACUGGCGGCCUGGAGUCGUGGUGAAGUGGCCGGAAUAUGUGGUGUAGCGGUGAAAUGCAUAGAUAUCACAUGGAAUACCGAUUGCGAAGGCAGGCCACUAACCAUGUACUGACGCUGAUGGACGAGAGCGUGGGUAGCGAACAGG